UAGAUGGAACUUUUUACAAGUUUAUUUUUAACACAAGAUAUACAGCCACUGUAAUGGUUCCAUGGAUAUUAUAAGCGCUAUUGAAUAAUCCCCUGUAUUAUAACCAAGUUCAAUGAUGCAAUCUCAUAGAGAGAACUGGGUUACAGGUGAAAGUAGCUGGUUGUGGAGUUUUUGGCUCCUUCUUUUCUCCACUGAGUGAUUGAAGCGUAUAUUAAUGAUUAUAGGCAUCAUUUUAAGCCGAUUGGGCAUCCUGGGGAGCGAGGAAUGGGACUAAGGAACUCCGAUGGGACAUCUGCUGGCUUCAGACCCAGUAGCACAUUGGCCUAGUAACUCUCAAAGAGCAGACCGACCAGGAAAUUAGCAACGAGGUUGGGAAAGAAAACAAGAAAUGAGGUAACGAUGAUGUAGAAAUAAACUACCGUUGACGUCUUCCGUUCUGAAUCAAGAAGGCAACCAUGUUUUUUUUCACCCCUCCACCCCUAUUGGGAUAUUGGCAAGUUGUCAUGACGACAGGGAUGUUCUGCUGAUGAAGUCUCGCUCCUCGUUGUCCAAUCAGAUCGUGGAGUCUAAAACUGCAGUAUGAAACAGGAGAGGACGCACCUAUUCCAGUUGCACAAUGCCGAGAAGGACAGCCCGAUCCUGGACCACCUACGGACGAAAUGGACGAUUUGGGGGAGGCAGUUAAUGGAGCCGCCAUGGAUAAACAAAACACAACCCAGCGGGGGACGAGGAUGAGGGGCUGCCAGGCUAUGGCUCAAAGGACCACUCUAAUGUUGACCCAUGGAAAGGAGCUGUCAGAAGAUUGGAAGCGGUCCAGUGUGGACCAAUGGGAAUGGGUUCUGUCUGGAGAGGCUUGUCAAGGAACCAGGCUUGCGUCUGGAUGACAAUGGGACAAGAAAACAUCUGGACCAGUCGAAGACUGACUUUUUCUGUCCAGACCGACAUCGGCCAUCUUGAAAGUGAGAGGCAUGAAGAUGUGAUGUUCUCCCUUUAGUGUCCUCCAUUUAGUUUUUUUAUCUCACUGUCCAAUCCCCCUUUAGGCCCCGCUCCAGGACUCAUUAUUGAGAGCAUGACUUGGCAUGUUGUAAUGUAUGUUGUCAACAUGUUGAUGUAUCGUGAGUGUUAUUGUUCAUAUUCAGUUCAUUAUUGGCUUGUAAAGUUGAGUUUUUUUCAGUUUUGUUCUUCAUGUGAACCUUUAUUUUCAUUUCAUUUUCAUAAUUCUAACCAAUUUUGUCAGUGAAUGUUCCUUUGUGGGGGUUAUUCUUUGAAGUUUGUUUAGUUCUCUGUCAAUGGUAGACCCCGGACCCUGUUGUGCAAACUCCACAGUCCUCCAGGGUUGAACAUCCCCUCUCAGCUGUGUAGGAGGUCAAUAUUCUGACGUCUCCACACUGCAAACUAGGCCUGAGCCUUUGAGGAUUUGGCAGGGGCGAGACAGGGACAGCAGUAGGGUUGAACUGGGUUUAGUUUGGCUGCCGUGGGGGACUGUGGUUUGGACCGAUGUGUCGCUGCUGCAUUAACCCCUGUCACUCUUCAUAUCAGCAGACCAUGAGGAAUGUUGAGAUCUGUUGGCCACCGAUGUGACAUAACCCCUCACUUCCUAAUCAAUGUACCGUUACUAUGACACACCUGGUUAUAAAGACGUUAAAAAAAUUGCUCUAAUUACAUUGGUAAUCAGUUUAAAAUAUCAAUAAGGUACCUUGGGGGUUUGUGAUAUAUGGCCAAUAUACCACGGCUAUGGGCUCUAUCCAGGCACUCCUUGUUGCGUCGUGCAUAAGAACAGUCCUUAGCAGUGGUAUAUUGGCCAUAUUCAACACCUCCUCGGGCCUUACUGCUUUAAUAUACCCCACCCCCUCGUGCCUUACUGCUUCAGUAUAGUUAUCUAUAACUACCAGCACAUGUACCUAUUCUAUGACAUGUCCAUUUAUAAAGUCUUUAUAAACCAUUUAUAAACAGUCCAUAACAAUCAUGGUUACCUUGCAGCUUUGUGAAUAAAAAGGACAUUGAUUUGUGUGGCAUUCAUCAGGACUCAUGGUCUUGAUUGGUUCCCAUCAAAGCCAUUGUCCUUUCAAUGGAACUAAUGUGCCUGUGUCGCCAAGUCCUCUCAAUACAUCUGCACGGUAUUAUUGUCGUCUGGGAAUGUCUCGAAAUCCAGACUUCAUUUAGGUCCAUAUGUAUACCGUACAGCUGACCCCUCCCGUCCUGAAUGUCUGUAAUGGAUGUUAUAUGUACAUAACCUAAUGCAUAAAAUGCACAGAGUGAUAUUUCACAGUUUAACUAUUUGAAGCACUUUAAGUCCUAAUGUUUGUUUGAACACCGUGUCAAAUGAUCAAAUGUUUUCUUACUCGUUAUCCAUUAAUUUCAAAGGUAACAUUUUUCGACAAGGGCACAGAAAUGAGGCGAUACUGACGACGCCACAGUGUGACGACUGCCUGUGAUGCUUGUAAUACUUCGAGCUGGAUCUACACUUGAGCAUGUCAAAUGUGCCAGGUUAAAGCUCUCACGAUCCCAGUUUCCCGAAAUAGGUGCACAAUUUAUCCUGGUAUUUCAGUAAGGUUGUGUCUCAAAUGGCACCCUAUUUCCUAUGUAGUGCAUUACUUUUGACCAGGGCCCAUAAGGUUCUGGUCAAAAGUAGUUCACUUUAUAGGGAAUAGGGUGCCAUUUGGUAUGCACAACAGGAGGCCCUAUUUUUCUGGUGGGUUGUGCUGCUGCUCCAUAACGCGUGGCUGACUGGGUAGACUGGUGUUCUCCUAAGCUGAUCUGUAGUCCUCAUUCCUAUCCUCUGGUGUCAGCACUUCUUAAAGUGGGCUGCCGGAGCCUCAGCACUUUCCCCGAAGCCUAGAAAAAGAGUGGAGAAAAUCCGGUUAAAUCCACACAACUCUGGAAUGCAUUUUCAUUAAAAGGCGUUUGUUUGAAGGGAUUGUGUGGUUGAGGGAGAGCGAAUAUCAGAAGAGAUCAGAUUGAAUGGCUGAUUGCUACGUACUGUAGUCGGAGAAGUAAUGUUAGAGAGAGGAGGGCGAGAGAGAAAUGACCUGACCAAGACACAUUUAUUUGGCUGCCUGGUUGCUAACAAGGUGUUAGAACUGUAAAAAAUAAAAGUUUUAUCCCA
Long non-coding RNA from Salmo salar (Atlantic salmon), 3106 nucleotides. RefSeq lists it as uncharacterized. The record is from RefSeq and is a predicted model, not a curated record. Lineage: Eukaryota; Metazoa; Chordata; Actinopteri; Salmoniformes; Salmonidae.